AAAUUUUCCGUCUCCAAUUCCAAAAAUGUCGUCGUGCUGCGGUGGUAAAUGUGGUUGCGGGUCCGGCUGCAGCUGCGGCAGUGGCUGCAACGGGUAAUCUUUCUACCUCUCUGUUUGUUUUCCGAGAAUCUGGAAAAAAGAAAAUCCCAGAAAAUUUCUGCUCUGAUUUGGGUUUUUGACUACAUGGGUUUUUGUUCAGGUGUGGGAUGGCUCCUGAUCUGAGCUACAUGGAGGGGUCCACCACUGAGACCCUCGUGAUGGGAGUUGCUCCCCAGAAGUCGUACGUAUUCUCAUCUCUCAGAAAUGAGAUCCCAAAUUAUUUUUGAAAUAUGUAAUUUGCAGAUUUUGUGGUUAUAAUUUUGGGAGACACGGAGAAACAGAAGUAGAUGGACACCAAACCGACAAUAAAAGUUUUAAAACGACAAUAAAAGGGAAAAGGACUCCGAUCCCUUCCUCCAAUUCAAAUCAGGAAAUUUAUGAUGUUGAAAUUUUUUUCUUUACUAAUUAAUGAAAUCUUUUUGUCAAUCAAAAAAUGAAAGAUAAAUUAGUUUUUUGUUACAAAAAUAUGAUGGGUAAUAAUGUAAUUUUAAAGGUUUAAAUUUUAUUAUUUUUAUUGAAAUAUUACUUGCCGAUGAUAUUAAAAUACCUUUAAUAUUAUAUAAAAAAAUAACCAAAAAAUACCUUCCCAACUCUCCCAGUUCUCUCUCUCUCCUAUUUUUUUUUAAAUGUGUUCAUACAUAUAAAUUGCAAGUAAAUAUUAGUAAUUUUUAAAGUGAGUUUCUGUUUGUAAUCGUUGAAUCUGUAAGGAUUUUCUGAUUUGAUGAUUAGGAGAAAGGGAUAUGCGGAGUGGAUUUAUUCCCAGUAAAAGGAAACAAAAUCAUGAUUUAUGUACGGUUUAUUGUCUGUUUAACAUAAGUUAAAUUUGUCUUUGUUUUGUUUUUAUUGAAACCGCGAUCGGUAUGAUUUAGGGAAGCAUGGAGAGAGAAAGCAUCAUUUAUACACUGACUUAUUGUCUGUUUCGGAGCGCUGUAACAUUUGUUUUGUAAUUUUGAUGUGCAGUCACAUGGAGGCAUCUGAGAUGGGAGUUGCUGCCGAGAACGGAUGCAAGUGUGGAGACAACUGCACCUGCAACCCCUGCAACUGCAAGUGAGAGGGACAGAUGGCACCUUCUGAUGAAGCAAGAGAAUCGCGGGGCUUAUAUGUUUAGCAGUAAUAUAUGUAUGUGUGUGUGUCGUAAUCAUGAAUCAUGAUCCAAAUUUACGAAGGUCGUGUUUUUAGAAUAAAGUGGCCAUGGCUUCUUCUGAGCUGCACGUCCUACUAGGCUGGGAUCUGGUCCUAGGUUAUGGCUGCUUGUUGUCUGUUUGCUUUGUACAUGCAGUAGUCGUAUUUGUGUUUUUAUGUUCGUGUUAACUUGGUGGAUCGUAUUAUGUGUUUCUGAUGAAAUUAAUGAAAAACUUGCUCCAUCUUUUGCUUUAAUUUUUGGGUUAAUUGACAAGGAAAACGAGUGCAAUAAGUUCCAACAACAAAAGUUUCUAAGAUGUUCUGGGGAAAUUUGGAGUACAACAUAUUUCGAUGUUUUAACCUUUUAAGAAUUUGUCAAACAUCCAACGAUUAUCGGAGAAU
This 1623-nucleotide long non-coding RNA is filed under the name Malus domestica (apple). RNAcentral's name for it is "long non-coding RNA (MDOM_LNC011489)". Lineage: Eukaryota; Viridiplantae; Streptophyta; Magnoliopsida; Rosales; Rosaceae. The record is from RNAcentral.